GACGGAAGGUGCAAGCGUUGCUCGGAAUCACUGGGCGUAAAGGGUGCGUAGGCGGCCGUGCAAGUCUGGCGUGAAAGCCCCGGGCUCAGCCCGGGAAGUGCGCUCGAAACUGCGCGGCUCGAGUGCCGGAGGGGAGAGUGGAAUUCCUGGUGUAGCGGUGAAAUGCGUAGAUAUCAGGAGGAAUACCGGUGGCGAAAGCGACUCUCUGGACCGGUACUGACGCUGAUGCGCGAAAGCGUGGGGAGCAAACAGG
This 253-nucleotide ribosomal RNA is filed under the name uncultured bacterium. Its description in RNAcentral is "partial 16S ribosomal RNA". It matches the Rfam family "Bacterial small subunit ribosomal RNA", at positions 524 to 776 of the family's 1533-position model. The record is from RNAcentral.